UUGGAGGGCAAGUCUGGUGCCAGCAGCCGCGGUAAUUCCAGCUCCAAUAGCGUAUAUUAAAGUUGUUGCAGUUAAAAAGCUCGUAGUUGAAUUUCGGGGCCAGUAGGUCGGUCGUGCCACUGGUAUGAACUGGUCUCACUGGUCCCUCCCUCUUGAAGAACCGUGAUGCCAUUAAUUUGGUGUUGCGGGGAAACAGGACUGUUACUUUGAAAAAAUUAGAGUGCUUAAAGCAGGCUUACGCUUGAAUACAUUAGCAUGGAAUAACGAAAUAGGACGAUCGAUUCUAUUUUGUUGGUUUCUAGGGUCGACGUAAUGAUUAAUAGGGAUAGUUGGGGGCAUUAGUAUUCAAUUGUCAGAGGUGAAAUUCUUGGAUUUAUUGAAGACUAACUACUGCGAAAGCAAUUUGCCAAGGAUGUUUUCAUUAAUCAAGAACGAAAGUUAGGGGAUCGAAGACGAUCAGAUACCGUCGUAGUCUUAACCAUAAACUAUGCCGACUAGGGAUCGGAUGAAGUUAAUUUUUUAAUGACUCAUUCGGCGCCUUACGGGAAAC
This 550-nucleotide ribosomal RNA is filed under the name uncultured Glomeromycotina. Its description in RNAcentral is "SSU rRNA". It matches the Rfam family "Eukaryotic small subunit ribosomal RNA", at positions 548 to 1098 of the family's 1831-position model. The record is from RNAcentral. Lineage: Eukaryota; Fungi; Glomeromycota.